This 27-nucleotide non-coding RNA is filed under the name Homo sapiens (human). The record is from RNAcentral. Lineage: Eukaryota; Metazoa; Chordata; Mammalia; Primates; Hominidae.
UGGAGUCAGUUAGAUAACUACAAACGG